UGUUAGGGAGGGGAGUUGAACCUCUGACUAUAAAAAUUUAAAUUUUAUGCAUUUACCAAACUUUGCUACCCUAGC
RNAcentral lists this transfer RNA (75 nucleotides) under Phataginus tetradactyla (long-tailed pangolin). RNAcentral describes it as "Manis tetradactyla (long-tailed pangolin) transfer RNA-Tyr". Lineage: Eukaryota; Metazoa; Chordata; Mammalia; Pholidota; Manidae. The record is from RNAcentral.